AUGGGCGGCGAGUGGCCUAUAUAUAGUGUGGCCUCCACCCCUCUCAUUUCAGAAUCUACUAUUGUAUUCUCCAAGUUGAAGUAAUAGAAGAGCUUUCUUCUUAUCUCUCUCUUGUACUUAGUCUAGGGCGAGUGAGGUCCUAACUUAGCAAGUAGAGAGGCAGGCUUGCUCACUUCGCGAAGGAAGGCGAGCGCCGCACGGGCUUUUGCGAGCAAAUUCGUUAAGUCCGUGACAGUUGGUAUCAGAGCCGGUUCGAGUAGGAGCCAUGUCGUCAUCAGAGGCCGCUGCUGGCGACGUUGGGGGUGAUGGCCCCAAGCAACCCUCCAAGCGGGGCAAGGGCAAGGACACGCGAAUCACGAAGGAUUCCGCGUCGGUCGAGGACCGCCUUGCGCUGUUGGAGGACAUUCUAUCGAAGGUGGGAGAAAGGUACACCGAGAUGGCCGAUACCUUUAACGCCUUCAAUGAAGAUGUUCGCAGUAUGGAGGAGAGUGUCGCCACUGCCAUGGCGACCUUUCGAGGCGAGCUUGAGAAGCUCCAAGACAACAUCACCCGUCGUGACGACGAACGGAAGAACUUGAUCGAGGAGCUAGUCACUCGAGUCGACGAGGUCGAGGACCUCAAGACGAGAGUGACUAUCCUUGAGAAGGCGGUGGCUCGAGGCGGUGAGACGCAGAAGGAGUACACCCCAAAGGUCCGCGUCCCUGAACCCCAAUGCUUCAAGGGAACGCGCGACGAGAAGGAGAUAGACAACUUCCUUUGGCACAUGGAGCGCUAUCUCAAGGCGCUGCGGAUCGAGGACGAGGAGGACAAGGUCCAGACCGCUUCCAUGUACCUCACCGACGACGCGAUGCUGUGGUGGCGUCGGCGUUCUGCAGAAGCCGAGAAGGGCCAAUGCAAACUGGAUACUUGGGAGGACUUCGUGCGCGAACUCAAGGCACAGUUCUACCCCGAGCACGUCGAAUACUUGGCGCGGAGGCAACUUCGACGGCUCAAGCACACAGGAUCCCUCAAGGAGUAUGUCAAGGAGUACUCCAAACUGAUGCUUGCCAUCACCAGCAUGGCCGAGGAGGAUCGGCUGUUCUUCUUCCUCGACGGUCUCCAACCGUGGGCUAACAAGGAGCUCGUGGCGAGAGACGUCAAGGACGUGAGCUCCGCUAUCGCUCAAGCGGAGAAGCUGCUGGAGUAUGACAAGCCAGACUUCGCUCGUGGCAAACCACCUAAGGCGGGCAAGGCCAAGGGUGGGGGAGACCGCCGCGAGCAGCGUGAUCACAAGGGCCAAGAGCGAAGAGGCCCUCCGCAGAAGAAGAAGAUCUCUUGCUAUGUCUGCGGGGGUGAUCACUGGGCGAGAGAUUGCCCAAAGAAGAAGACCGUCAACGCCAUCCAAGCUGAGGAGAGCGAGGAACAAGCGGAGACGAAGAUGGGCGCGCUACGACUCGUCAGCGCGAUCCAGGGGCAGGCGAGCAGCAAACCGCUCAAGAAGGAGCUGCUGUUCGUGGACGUGACCCUCAACGGGAGGGCCACUCGAGCGCUCGUGGACACUGGGGCGACCCACAACUUCAUCGCCGAGUCUGAGGCCAAACGGCUGGGCCUCACACUCGAGAAGGACACGAGCAAGAUCAAGGCUGUCAACUCGGUGGCACAGCCUGUCGUGGGAGUAGCCAAAGGGGUGACGAUCGCUGUAGGACCCUGGUCGGGUACAGCGAACUUCACCGCCGCGACCAUCGACGACUUCAAAGUCAUUCUCGGCAUCGACUUUCUAGCUUCAUCGAAAGCGGUCCCGAUGCCGCAUCUCGGGGCCUUGAGCAUCAUGGAGGAGGCAGCCCCGUGCAUGGUCUUGGCUAGCCGCAGCGAGCCAGCGGCAACCCACACCCUCUCCGCUCUGCAACUGCGGAAGGGGGUAAAGCGCGGAGAGAUCACUUAUCUUGCGGCCAUCCGCGAGGUGAGCGACGAGGACCUCGAGGAGGAGGACCAUCCAGCGGUGAUCGAUGCAGUCCUGGGGGAGUUCAAGGACGUCAUGCCCCAGGAGUUGCCCAAGAGACUUCCACCAAGGCGGGAGGUGGACCAUGCGAUCGAGCUCGAGCCAGGAGCAAAGCCACCAGCAAAGGCACCAUACCGCAUGGCCCCGCCAGAGCUCGAGGAGUUGCAGCGUCAACUGAAGGACCUCCUCGAUGCGGGCUUCAUCAGGCCGUCGAAGGCACCCUACGGAGCACCAGUCUUGUUCCAAAGGAAGAGCGACGGAAGCCUGCGGCUCUGUAUUGACUACAGAGCGCUCAACAAGGUGACGGUAAAGAACAAGUACCCUAUUCCUCUUGUUGCUGACUUGUUUGACCAGCUUGGCGGAGCGAAGUUCUUCACCAAAUUGGACCUUCGCUCGGGGUACUACCAAGUCAGGAUCGCGGAGGGCGAUGAGGAGAAAACGGCAUGUGUGACGAGGUAUGGAGCCUACGAGUUCCUCGUCAUGCCAUUCGGCCUGACGAAUGCGCCGGCGACCUUCUGCACCCUGAUGAACAAGCUAUUCCACCCCUACCUCGAUCGCUUCGUGGUAGUGUACCUCGACGACAUCGUCGUGUACAGCAACACUCUGGAGGAGCACGUCGAGCAUCUGCGGACGAUCUUCCAAGUGCUGCGGGAGAACCAACUCUAUGUCAAAAGGGAGAAGUGCUCCUUUGCGAAGGAGGAGGUGCACUUCCUUGGCCACUGGAUCGGCCGAGGACAACUCCACAUGGACCAGCAGAAAGUGCGGGCGAUCUGCGAGUGGGAAGCGCCCACGACGGUGUCCGAGCUGCGAUCCUUUCUCGGACUCGUCAACUACUAUCGCCGCUUCAUCGCGGGCUACUCUGCUCGAGCGGCCCCUUUGACGGAUCUGCUGAAGAAGACCCAGUCAUGGGACUGGACCCCUCGAUGCGCGGAGGCAUUCGAGGACUUAAAACGGGCGGUGACGGAGGAUCCGGUGUUGCGGCUUCCCGACUGCAGCCGUCCAUUCGAGGUACAUACUGACGCCUCGGACUUUGCCAUUGGUGGUGUUCUCGUGCAGGACGGACACCCCAUCGCCUAUGAGAGCCGCAAGCUCAACGACACCGAGCGGCGGUACACGGUGCAGGAGAAGGAGAUGACCGCUGUGGUGCACUGCCUCAGGACCUGGCGGCACUAUCUCCUUGGAAGCAAGUUCGUGGUGCGGACGGACAAUGUCGCGACGAGCUACUUCCUUACUCAGAAGAAGCUGUCACCCAAGCAGGCGAGGUGGCAGGACUUCCUGGCGGAGUUCGACAUGGAGCUCUCGUACAAACCCGGGAAGGAGAACCAAGUGGCUGACGCACUCAGCCGCAAGGCGGAACUGGCAGCGGUGUGCCAGAUCCAAGGCGCGAUCAGGGAGCGAAUCCGCGAAGGGACUUGCGAAGACCCUGUGGCCCAAGGACUCGUGCGACUCGUCAAGGAGGGCAAGGCGCAGCGGUUCUGGCUUAGCGAUGGGCUGCUCCUGACCAAGGGGCGUCGCGUCUAUGUGCCCAGGUGGGGCAAUCUUCGUCGCGAGCUCAUGAAGGAGUGUCAUGACUCCAAUUGGGCCGGACAUCCAGGACAGAAGCGGACGAUGGCGCUGCUCGAGGCCGCCUACUAUUGGCCUCGCAUGCACGACGACGUGGAGGCGUACGUGCGGACUUGCCUUGUGUGCCAGCAAGACAAGGUGGAGCGCCAGAAGCCUGGGGGCCUCCUCGAGCCCCUGCCUACACCGACGCGUCCGUGGGAGAGCAUUUCCAUGGACUUCAUCUCCGCCUUGCCCAAGGUGGGGACGUUGGGGUCCAUCCUCGUGGUGGUGGACCGAUUCUCCAAGUACGGGACUUUCAUCGCGGCACCAGCGGAUUGCACGGCGGAAGAAGCGGCGCGGCUCUUCGUCAGCAAUGUGGUGAAGCUUUGGGGCAUCCCCGAAAGCAUUGUGAGUGACCGAGACCCUAGGUUUACGGGCAAGUUCUGGACAGAGGUGUUCCGGAUCUUGGGGUCGGAGUUGCUCUUUUCCACCAGUUUUCACCCACAGACGGACGGCCAGACGGAGCGGGUGAAUGCCUUACUGGAGGAGUACCUGCGGCACUAUGUCAGUGCCAACCAGAAGGAUUGGGUGCAUCAUCUGGAUGUGGCCCAGUUCUCCUACAACUUGCGGCGGAGCGAGUCAACCAACCUCAGCCCGUUCGAGCUGGCAACGGGGAGGCAACCACUCACUCCGCAUUCUGCUGCUGCGGGCGAGCAGGGCCGCAGCCCAAUGGCUCUCCAAUUCACUUCUCAUUUGCAGGAGAAGGGGGACAUUGCGAGAGCCUAUCUCGAGAAGGCGGCCCGCCGAAUGAAAAAGUGGGCCGAUGCAAAGCGGCGACCCUUGGAGUUUGCCGAGGGAGAUCGAGUGUUGAUCAAGCUGCAACCUCAACAGUUCAAGGCUUUUCGCAAAGUGCACCGUGGGCUUUUGCGAAAGUACGAGGGGCCUUUCACUGUCAUCAAGCGAGCGGGCAAGGCAGCCUACAAACUGCAACUCCCCGCCAACCUGAAGAUUCAUCCUGUCUUUCAUGCUAGUUGCCUGCGGCCCUACCAUGAAGACGCUGAGGACCCGAGCCGGGGCGUGUCGCAGCGCGCUCCCGCCACUAUGACCACUGCAAUCGACAAGGAGGUCGAAGCCUUGCUGGACACUCGCACCAUUCGGCGUCGCGGAGUCCCGAGGAGCGUCGAGUACCUUGUCAAGUGGAAGAAUCUCCCGCAUGGCGAGGCAAGCUGGGAGAAGGCUGACACUCUCUGGAAGUAUCAGAAGCUGAUCGAUGACUUCCAACACCAGCGCGCGACGAGGGCGUCUGCGCAAUAGGUGGGGGAGGUUGUCACGACACAAAGAUUUUCUCCGCGAUUUCGCUUUGCAAUCACCCGAACUCCAAAGCGGACAUCUGACGGAGGUUUUGGCUUGGAACCUUCUGGAAGCUUCUACGUGGAUCUCGAGGCUGAUUGGCGCGGAUGCCGAGGAGUCAAGAGUCCCUUGGGGUUUCUAGGUAGCCAUUAAUGUACUUAGAGUUUCUAUGCAUAUUUAUUAUGACUCUUGGGAGACCGUAGCGUACUUAUUGGCCUCCCCUUUUGGCUUGUAGUUUCAUGCCACUUGGCAUCUUAUCAUUUGCUUUAUGGGCGGCGAGUGGCCUAUAUAUAGUGUGGCCUCCACCCCUCUCAUUUCAGAAUCUACUAUUGUAUUCUCCAAGUUGAAGUAAUAGAAGAGCUUUCUUCUUAUCUCUCUCUUGUACUUAGUCUAGGGCGAGUGAGGUCCUAACUUAGCAAGUAGAGAGGCAGGCUUGCUCACUUCGCGAAGGAAGGCGAGCGCCGCACGGGCUUUUGCGAGCAAAUUCGUUAAGUCCGUGACAG
Molecule: long non-coding RNA, 5373 nt
Filed under: Ananas comosus (pineapple)
Lineage: Eukaryota; Viridiplantae; Streptophyta; Magnoliopsida; Poales; Bromeliaceae
Description: long non-coding RNA (ACOM_LNC032620)
Source: RNAcentral